Non-coding RNA from Suillus discolor, 74 nucleotides. Lineage: Eukaryota; Fungi; Basidiomycota; Agaricomycetes; Boletales; Suillaceae. The record is from the annotation of a RefSeq genome assembly.
GGGCAUAUGGUGUAGCUGGUUAUCACAUCCGCUUAGCAUGCGGGGGGUCUCCGGUUCGAGUCCGGAUUUGUCCA